UUCCGGUUGAUCCUGCCGGACCCCACUGCUAUCGGGAUGGGACUAAAACAUGCUAGUCGUGCGUCUCUAAGCCAUGGUGGAGGCGCGGCGCACAGCUCAGUAACACGUGGCUAACCUGCCCUUGGGACAGGGACAACCCCGGGAAACUGGGGCUAAUCCCUGAUAGGUGAGGACUCCUGGAAUGGAUCCUCGCUCGAAAGGGUGUCUAGACCAUGCUUCUAGGCGCUGCCCAAGGAUGGGGCCGCGGCCGAUCAGGUUGUUGGUGAGGUAACGGCUCACCAAGCCUUUAACCGGUACGGGCCGUGAGAGCGGGAGCCCGGAGAUGGGCACUGAGACAAGGGCCCAGGCCCUACGGGGCGCAGCAGUCGCGAAAACUCCGCAAUACGCGAAAGCGUGACGGGGUCAUCCCGAGUGCCAUCCGCUGAGGAUGGCUUUUCCCCAGUGUAUAAAGCUGGGGGAAUAAGGAGAGGGCAAGCCUGGUGUCAGCCGCCGCGGUAAUACCAGCUCUCCGAGUGGUGGGGAUGUUUAUUGGGCCUAAAGCAUUCGUAGCUGGCUGGGCAAGUCCUCCGUUAAAUCCAGCGAUUCAAUCGUUGGACUGCGGGGGAUACUGUCCGGCUAGGGGGCGGGAGAGGCCGGCGGUAUUCUCGGGGUAGGGGUGAAAUCCUAUAAUCCCGGGAGGACCACCAGUGGCGAAGGCUGUCGGCUAGAACGCGCCCGACGGUGAGGGAUGAAAGCUGGGGGAGCGAACCGGAUUAGAUACCCGGGUAGUCCCAGCUGUAAACGAUGCAGGCUAGGUGUUGGCGCGGCUACGUGCCGCUCCGGUGCCGCAGAGAAGUCGUUAAGCCUGCCGCCUGGGGAAGUACGGCCGCAAGGCUGAAACUUAAAGGAAUUGGGCGGGG
RNAcentral lists this ribosomal RNA (899 nucleotides) under uncultured crenarchaeote. RNAcentral's name for it is "bacterial SSU rRNA". It matches the Rfam family "Archaeal small subunit ribosomal RNA", at positions 1 to 874 of the family's 1478-position model. Lineage: Archaea; Thermoproteati; Thermoproteota. The record is from RNAcentral.